Molecule: ribosomal RNA, 584 nt
Filed under: uncultured bacterium
Lineage: Bacteria
Description: bacterial SSU rRNA
Rfam family: Bacterial small subunit ribosomal RNA
Source: RNAcentral
CCUACGGGAGGCAGCAGUGGGGAAUUUUGGACAAUGGGCGCAAGCCUGAUCCAGCAAUGCCGCGUGAGUGAAGAAGGCCUUCGGGUUGUAAAGCUCUUUUGUCAGGGAAGAAACGGUGAGGGCUAAUACCUCUUGCUAAUGACGGUACCUGAAGAAUAAGCACCGGCUAACUACGUGCCAGCAGCCGCGGUAAUACGUAGGGUGCAAGCGUUAAUCGGAAUUACUGGGCGUAAAGCGUGCGCAGGCGGUUUUGUAAGUCUGUCGUGAAAUCCCCGGGCUCAACCUGGGAAUUGCGAUGGAGACUGCAAGGCUAGAAUCUGGCAGAGGGGGGUAGAAUUCCACGUGUAGCAGUGAAAUGCGUAGAGAUGUGGAGGAACACCGAUGGCGAAGGCAGCCCCCUGGGUCAAGAUUGACGCUCAUGCACGAAAGCGUGGGGAGCAAACAGGAUUAGAUACCCUGGUAGUCCACGCCCUAAACGAUGUCUACUAGUUGUCGGGUUUUAAUUAACUUGGUAACGCAGCUAACGCGUGAAGUAGACCGCCUGGGGAGUACGGUCGCAAGAUUAAACUUAAAUGAAUUGACGG